RNAcentral lists this ribosomal RNA (253 nucleotides) under uncultured bacterium. RNAcentral describes it as "partial 16S ribosomal RNA". It matches the Rfam family "Bacterial small subunit ribosomal RNA", at positions 524 to 776 of the family's 1533-position model. The record is from RNAcentral.
UACAGAGGUCCCAAGCGUUGUUCGGAUUCACUGGGCGUAAAGGGUGCGUAGGUGGUCGGGUAAGUCUGAUGUGAAAUCUCCGAGCUCAACUCGGAAAUGGCAUUGGAUACUAUUCGGCUGGAGGGUUGGAGGGGGGACUGGAAUACUUGGUGUAGCAGUGAAAUGCGUAGAUAUCAAGUGGAACACCAGUGGCGAAGGCGAGUCCCUGGACAUUUCCUGACACUGAGGCACGAAAGCUAGGGGAGCAAACAGG